This 22-nucleotide non-coding RNA is filed under the name Arabidopsis thaliana (thale cress). The record is from RNAcentral. Lineage: Eukaryota; Viridiplantae; Streptophyta; Magnoliopsida; Brassicales; Brassicaceae.
GUCAGUGAUGCUAUUGAGUCCU